Chelonia mydas (Green sea turtle) is the source of this 2186-nucleotide long non-coding RNA. RefSeq lists it as uncharacterized. The transcript has 2 exons. The record is from RefSeq and is a predicted model, not a curated record. NCBI's taxonomy places the organism in Eukaryota, Metazoa, Chordata, Testudines, Cheloniidae.
CAGGGAGAAAGAGGAGAAGGGUUAUAAACAGGAGAUGUUGGUAGUAGUGAGAGUCUUAGGGAGACCAUCUGAACAGCAAUUGAUUUCCAGGAGCAGAAAACUAGGGGUGGAAAUAGGCUCUAAAAUCCUAACCCUGGAAGCAGGGACAACCUCAGAAGAGUUGUAGGGAAAGAAGUCUUGAGAUGGUAGGGUACGAAGAGGCCCAGGGAAAUAGCAUAAAGAUAAGCCACAAUUGUGUUUUGGGAUGGGAGGAUACUUUCAGUGGCCAGAGAUCAAGGACUGGCUGGGGUCAGGGAUAUUGAUUUUCAACAUCCUGCUGCAGAAGCUACAAGAGUGGCUGUGGCAUUGAUGAAAUUCCCUUCUCAAGCUGGGCCUUGGAGGUCUGGCUGUUGUGGGAGCCCGGGGAUGCCGGCUAGUAGUGGUUAGUUUCUUUGCCCAUCUGCUCCUAUCUACUGAGAUAACUAAAACUUUUGACGAACACUCUACUCAAGAAAGGCUCCUGUUGCAGGCCCUAUGCAGUCUAGUGACAAGUCUGUACCCCUUCUGAAAUGUACAAAGCUUCCCCAGCUGCCCUUCUCCAUAGGGCCAAAUGCUCUGUACAUAGUAUUAUGGGAUGUGGCUGUAGCAGGAGGUGGAGAAGAGCGGGGUUAGCAGCUGAGAGGGCUGUGGCUGUAGUGUGGUGAAAUAAAUGAGCUCCAGGUGUUCAGCACCUUCAGGAAUUGGCCCUGCCUGAACAAGGACUGACUGAAACCAAGGAGGCCUUUGGGAUUUGCCCUAUUAUGUUUAGUUUAUUGUAGCACUUUGGGAUCUGGCAUUUCAUUUGUUUGUUCUCUUCCUUGUUUGCCCGGAUUAAGCCAUGUUUCCCUGGCAGAAUAAAAAAACACUGCAUGUUCAGGGCCCUUUUCCAUUGGAAGAGAGAGCCAUGGGAAACUCUUCAUUACCAACAGGGAGCAAAUAUUUAGUUCUCACUAGGCCAGUUGGCAGGUGUGGAAUCCACUGUGACAUGCACAAGAAAGAUGCACUUGCAGACUGGUGAUGUAGGCUUUGGUUAAGGCAGCUCACGGAAAAGUGGCCCUAGUUUAUUCUAUCCCCUGCCCCCCUUUAACAUUAUGAGUUUUAUUUUCCUCCCUAAUAACCAGUCACAGUGAGUGGGGCUCCACAGAGCAGCACGGCUCAUAAGUGCAUUCUUUUGCAAGCCAAGAUUAGCCUUUACUGCUUCUGAAUCUCUCCCUGUAGAUGGUGACUAUCAUUCAGAAGGACAUUCUGUCCUGGCUUCAGUAAGGGGAGAGGUGGGCUUUAUUGUUAAGAGAUCACCGUCAAUCAAAGGUGCAGGAUGAUCGUAUGUUGUGGGAAUGCAUGCCUAGCAUCCACAACAGACCUUUUGUCAGACUAACUUUGUUAUGAUCUCCCCCUUUUCCGGGGCUGUUUGGUUGUGGUUUUUGGCUCACAGCUUCUCCAGAGAAGUGAGUGAUGGAGAGGAUUCCAGAGCCACAUCCAAAAGUCCCCACAAGGAUCUUCUAAAAGGCAGCCUGUAACAGCCUUCUUGUGAAAGGCCAGGAGGACAGGCUGCACUCUGCAUCAUAUUGCUCCAAACACUUAACCAUGUGAACAUCCAGAGCCAUAACAAAACUGCCAUUUCCAUGAUUGCUUUCUGAACUGGUUUGGUCACAUGCUAAAAUGAAAAGGAUGGACAGGGAGUGGGGAAAUAAACCCCACACAACAGCCUCUAGUGGUACAGUUCUCAGCACAGAAGCUCCACCUUUGCAGACAAACUUACUGCAACAGACUGUCUCUAAUUACAGACUGGAAAUAGAAUCUGGGAAACAUGAGGCCUGGUAGAAAUCCAAGGACACUGUAACACGAGAGGAGAGCUUGAAAUUGUGAUCCCUUUUCAUCUUCACUGUCCAACCACAAAGGGGGCAGAUGAGAAGUGACUACUGAGCAAUCACAAAUACAAACAGACUUCUCACUGAAAAGUCAAGAAGAAAACGUCUAGCUUUGGGAGUGAAGAGAGACUUUGGAACUGCCCUCCCAAUAUGUGACUGCCUUCUGAUGAACCAGAAAUGGCUAAUACUACAAGAUGGACACACUCAGGAACUCCCCAUGGAAAUCAUGGCACCUGUUCCUUCGUUACGAUACUGGCUGGCACCACUUGUAUGCUUUAUGCCAAUAAAACUUAAAUUGUA